RNAcentral lists this long non-coding RNA (217 nucleotides) under Mytilus galloprovincialis (Mediterranean mussel). Lineage: Eukaryota; Metazoa; Mollusca; Bivalvia; Mytilida; Mytilidae. The record is from RNAcentral.
CAACAAGGUGCGUUUAUCCAAUGAAUUGUAUAUUAUAUCGAAAUAUACAAUUCCUUGGUUUAUCGUAAAUGGCAGGAAAGGAAAAUACUUUGUUACUCUUUUCCCAAAAGGAAACAUGAGUAUAUAUCUUUAUUAGCCUCCCUUAGCAGAGAUAGUGAUGCAAAUACAAUAUCAAUGCAUAACACUGUAUACACAAAUUUGAACACAUAAACACACA